AGGACGAACGCUGGCGGCGUGCUUAACGACAUGCAAGUCGAGCGGAAAGGCCCUUCGGGGUACUCGAGCGGCGAACGGGUGAGUAACACGUGAGCAACCUGCCCUUAGCUUCGGGAUAGCUCCGGGAAACCGGAAUUAAUACCGGAUAUGACUAUGGCCGACAUCAGCCAUGGUGGAAAGUUUUUCGGCUAGGGAUGGACUCGCGGCCUAUCAGCUAGUUGGUGAGGUAACGGCUCACCAAGGCGACGACGGGUAGCCGGCCUGAGAGGGCGACCGGCCACACUGGGACUGAGACACGGCCCAGACUCCUACGGGAGGCAGCAGUGGGGAAUAUUGCGCAAUGGGCGAAAGCCUGACGCAGCGACGCCGCGUGGGGGAUGAAUGCCUUCGGGUUGUAAACCCUUUCAGCAGGGACGAAGCGAAAGUGACGGUACCUGCAGAAGAAGCGCCGGCUAACUACGUGCCAGCAGCCGC
This 474-nucleotide ribosomal RNA is filed under the name uncultured bacterium. RNAcentral's name for it is "SSU rRNA". It matches the Rfam family "Bacterial small subunit ribosomal RNA", at positions 26 to 518 of the family's 1533-position model. The record is from RNAcentral.